RNAcentral lists this ribosomal RNA (244 nucleotides) under uncultured bacterium. Its description in RNAcentral is "partial 16S ribosomal RNA". It matches the Rfam family "Bacterial small subunit ribosomal RNA", at positions 791 to 1035 of the family's 1533-position model. The record is from RNAcentral.
UAGUCCACGCAGUAAACGAUGCCGACUAGGCGUGGGAGGACUUGACCCCUUCCGUGCCGGAGCCAACGCGGUAAGUCGGCCGCCUGGGGAGUACGGCCGCAAGGCUAAAACUCAAAGGAAUUGACGGGGGCCCGCACAAGCGGCGGAGCGUGCGGUUUAAUUCGACGCAACGCGCAGAACCUUACCAGGGCUUGACAUGCGACUGCAGGCUCAUGAAAGUGAGCGUCCUUCGAGGGUGUCGCAC